Molecule: ribosomal RNA, 490 nt
Filed under: Bacillus sp. KbaB1
Lineage: Bacteria; Bacillati; Bacillota; Bacilli; Caryophanales; Bacillaceae
Description: bacterial LSU rRNA
Rfam family: Bacterial large subunit ribosomal RNA
Source: RNAcentral
CUGGUGGAGUGCUUAGAAGUGAGAAUGCCGGUAUGAGUAGCGAAAGACGGGUGAGAAUCCCGUCCACCGAAUGCCUAAGGUUUCCUGAGGAAGGCUCGUCCGCUCAGGGUUAGUCAGGACCUAAGCCGAGGCCGACAGGCGUAGGCGAUGGACAACAGGUUGAUAUUCCUGUACCACCUCUUUAUCGUUUGAGCAAUGGAGGGACGCAGAAGGAUAGAAGAAGCGUGCGAUUGGUUGUGCACGUCCAAGCAGUUAGGCUGAUAAGUAGGCAAAUCCGCUUAUCGUAAAGGCUGAGCUGUGAUGGGGAAGCUCCUUAUGGAGCGAAGUCUUUGAUUCCCCGCUGCCAAGAAAAGCUUCUAGCGAGAUAAAAGGUGCCUGUACCGCAAACCGACACAGGUAGGCGAGGAGAGAAUCCUAAGGUGUGCGAGAGAACUCUGGUUAAGGAACUCGGCAAAAUGACCCCGUAACUUCGGGAGAAGGGGUGCUUUCU